This 726-nucleotide ribosomal RNA is filed under the name uncultured bacterium. RNAcentral describes it as "bacterial SSU rRNA". It matches the Rfam family "Bacterial small subunit ribosomal RNA", at positions 140 to 853 of the family's 1533-position model. The record is from RNAcentral.
GGGAUAACACUUGGAAACAGGUGCUAAUACCGUAUAACACUAUUUUCCGCAUGGAAGAAAGUUGAAAGGCGCUUUUGCGUCACUGAUGGAUGGACCCGCGGUGCAUUAGCUAGUUGGUGAGGUAACGGCUCACCAAGGCCACGAUGCAUAGCCGACCUGAGAGGGUGAUCGGCCACACUGGGACUGAGACACGGCCCAGACUCCUACGGGAGGCAGCAGUAGGGAAUCUUCGGCAAUGGACGAAAGUCUGACCGAGCAACGCCGCGUGAGUGAAGAAGGUUUUCGGAUCGUAAAACUCUCUUGUUAGAGAAGAACAAGGAUGAGAGUAGAACGUUCAUCCCUUGACGGUAUCUAACCAGAAAGCCACGGCUAACUACGUGCCAGCAGCCGCGGUAAUACGUAGGUGGCAAGCGUUGUCCGGAUUUAUUGGGCGUAAAGCGAGCGCAGGCGGUUUCUUAAGUCUGAUGUGAAGCCCCCGGCUCAACCGGGGAGGGUCAUUGGAAACUGGGAGACUUGAGUGCAGAAGAGGAGAGUGGAAUUCCAUGUGUAGCGGUGAAAUGCGUAGAUAUAUGGAGGAACACCAGUGGCGAAGGCGGCUCUCUGGUCUGUAACUGACGCUGAGGCUCGAAAGCGUGGGGAGCGAACAGGAUUAGAUACCCUGGUAGUCCACGCCGUAAACGAUGAGUAAUGGGUGUUGGAGGGUUUCCGCCCUUCAGUGCUGCAGCA